AUUGAACGCUGGCGGCAGGCCUAACACAUGCAAGUCGAGCGGAUGAAGGGAGCUUGCUCCUGGAUUCAGCGGCGGACGGGUGAGUAAUGCCUAGGAAUCUGCCUGGUAGUGGGGGAUAACGUCCGGAAACGGGCGCUAAUACCGCAUACGUCCUGAGGGAGAAAGUGGGGGGUCUUCGGACCUCACGCUAUCAGAUGAGCCUAGGUCGGAUUAGCUAGUUGGUGGGGUAAAGGCCUACCAAGGCGACGAUCCGUGACUGGUCUGAGAGGAUGAUCAGUCACACUGGAACUGAGACACGGUCCAGACUCCUACGGGAGGCAGCAGUGGGGAAUAUUGGACAAUGGGCGAAAGCCUGAUCCAGCCAUGCCGCGUGUGUGAAGAAGGUCUUCGGAUUGUAAAGCACUUUAAGUUGGGAGGAAGGGCAGUAAGUUAAUACCUUGCUGUUUUGACGUUACCAACAGAAUAAGCACCGGCUAACUUCGUG
Molecule: ribosomal RNA, 484 nt
Filed under: uncultured bacterium
Lineage: Bacteria
Description: partial 16S ribosomal RNA
Rfam family: Bacterial small subunit ribosomal RNA
Source: RNAcentral